AGAAUGAACGCUGGCGGCAUGCCUAACACAUGCAAGUCGAACGAAGCCUUCGGGCUUAGUGGCGCACGGGUGCGUAACGCGUGGGAAUCUGCCCUUGGGUUCGGAAUAACAGUUAGAAAUGACUGCUAAUACCGAAUGAUGUCGUAAGACCAAAGAUUUAUCGCCCAGGGAUGAGCCCGCGUAGGAUUAGCUAGUUGGUGUGGUAAAGGCGCACCAAGGCGACGAUCCUUAGCUGGUCUGAGAGGAUGAUCAGCCACACUGGGACUGAGACACGGCCCAGACUCCUACGGGAGGCAGCAGUGGGGAAUAUUGGACAAUGGGCGAAAGCCUGAUCCAGCAAUGCCGCGUGAGUGAUGAAGGCCUUAGGGUUGUAAAGCUCUUUUACCCGGGAUGAUAAUGACAGUACCGGGAGAAUAAGCUCCGGCUAACUCCGUGCCAGCAGCCGC
Molecule: ribosomal RNA, 446 nt
Filed under: uncultured bacterium
Lineage: Bacteria
Description: SSU rRNA
Rfam family: Bacterial small subunit ribosomal RNA
Source: RNAcentral